UUCGUCCCCCCAGCGCCCCGACAGCCCCCGGGGAGGCUCCUCUGGCAGAGAAGAAAUACAAACCCCUGAACACGGCCCCGAAUGCGGCCAAGGAGAUCAAAGUGAAAAUCAUCCCCCCACAGCCCAUGGAAGGCCUCGGCUUCCUGGACGCCCUCAACUCCGCGCCCGUCCCCGGCAUCAAGAUCAAGAAAAAGAAAAAAGUUCUGUCCCCGACGGCAGCCAAGCCCAGCCCCUUCGAGGGGAAGCCGGCGCCGGAGCCCAGCGCGGCCAAACCGUCGUCA
This is a non-coding RNA of Cyanistes caeruleus (blue tit), 281 nucleotides long. The record is from RefSeq and is a predicted model, not a curated record. NCBI's taxonomy places the organism in Eukaryota, Metazoa, Chordata, Aves, Passeriformes, Paridae.